UGAAUAUGCAAAAUCAUAGUUUAUAUUUUAUGUGUACUAAUCAGAAAUAAUUAACAUAGUUUUGUUAAGAAAAUUGUAUUAAAUUUAAACUAAAUGAAUAACAUAUUACCAAAAUAAAUAAGUUUACAUAUAUAUAAUUCAAAUUAAAAUAGUCUGAUAUGUUAUGGAAACGUUUUAAAAUGAUUUACGGAAAUAUUGUGUAGAUAUUAAUUUAUUGAUUUAAUUCGUUUUUUUUAAAGCAAAAUUCAAGAUAUUUAUUUAGUUGGAGUAGUUGUUAAUUUACUAAAUUACCCAUGAAAAAAUUCAUUUACUUAGUUUUAAACUACCCUUACAAUGUUGUAGUUCACACAAUGCUUCCCAAUUAAUAGUUGAUGUAAUUUUGUGAAUUUUCUCAUUA
RNAcentral lists this small RNA (397 nucleotides) under Arabidopsis thaliana (thale cress). RNAcentral describes it as "ATSL278060". Lineage: Eukaryota; Viridiplantae; Streptophyta; Magnoliopsida; Brassicales; Brassicaceae. The record is from RNAcentral.